GGUUGGUCCCGGCGGGGGAAGGAGAAAGUGAGACUCGGUGUCAUCACCAAUCCGUCGCCAGAAGGGGAGGAAACUGGAAUCCAGCAGCGGCGAGCAGCAGCUGGGCGGUCACAUCUGGAAAUGGAAAGCCGACCUCCCCCUCCUCCUCCACCUCUUCCUCCUCCUCCUCCUCCUCCUCUCACCCAGGAUCACUUCCGAAACCACUUGGCCUUCAGCCCCUGCCUCGGCCAGAGGUUUCAUUUUUAACUGAAUAUUUACGAAAGCUGAAAGCGUGCGAGGGGGGUGGGGUGGAAAUAGCGGCUGCUUCUUUUCCAAGGAUUUAUUUAAUGGGGAUGUGUUCAAGGCAAGACCGAAUUCAGAAGGAUAUCGACGUCGUGAUCCAGAAGUCCAGAGCUGAGGACUGCCUGUUUGCAGGACAACUGUGCAGACUACAAAGCUUCGGAAAACCGGAGAGGCUGAGUCGACUAAUCGUGUUGUUGCACGUUAGAAACGCUUGCAUUGCCUGACUCUGAAACCAGAAGGGCGGCCGAAUGGCCUUCACCCUCCAUUAACCCUCGCCUCCUUCAGAAGCCAGUGCCUCUGGAAAUGCCUGGAUCUGCGACCCCAGCCUGAGCCUAGUAGGGCCCAAGGGAAGCUGAACGCCCCGACGGCUCUCAUGGGCACCGGCAACAGUUUUCCGUUUGUGCCUACUCCACCUGCUGUCUUUGUUGGGUCAGCGAACAUCGCCUCCCUCUACCGCUCAAUCAGCAAAAGGGACCGCCCUUGAGGACCUCACCCGCGGCUCACUCCCCUCCCAACUUCGCGGGCAUCGCCUCCGGUCGCCUCUUCCGAAGGCCUAACGAGCAUGUUAGCUGCGAACGGAGGUGAGGAGGCUCCGCUGACUGACCGGUGCCCAUGUCCAGGGCACGCACAAACGCCAUGACUUGGCUUGGCCUCUCUCUUAGUUAUUCACAAGCUCAGCCCGAUAGGCACCUCUGGGGCGGCGACGGCAAAGAGGGUGCGCUUAUUAAGUGCAGCUCCACGGGGACUGGCCUCUGCACGGCUGUGUACACCUGAGCGAGACGCUCAGUCGCUCUCUAAAGCCGCUUCUGCGGAUGACAGACACGGAGAUAAACGUGAGAGGUGGCCCACCACGACUUGCCCUCCUUUGCCCGGGUUUGCCCCUCGCUGCGGAGGCUGUUCUACAUCUGGCCCUUGGAGCAGGCCGGCUGACAGCGUGGUAAAGGAAGAUUUCUGCGGGAGGGCGGCCAGUGCAAAACAAUUCCCUGACCGGGAAUCGAACCCGGGCCGUGGCGCUUUCAGCACCGAAUCCUAGCCACUAGACAACCAUGCAGAUGCGGAAAGCUGCUUUCUCUCCCUUCUUCGACCUGAAGCGACACUUUCCUGUGCUCUAGGAGGACUUGGGUCUUGUGAGAGUCUCCCUUUGCUCCUGGAGUCGUCUCACAAGGCCGUUCACUCCCUGCUUUCUUCAAAAAAAGAACCUGCAGGCGACACACCAAGGGCUCCACGAGGGAGUCCUGAGUACUGGAGCGAGUUGCGGCCACGCGGCCGCAGCUCACCACUGGCCUAGAGAUGCCCUUUGCCAGGCGGCAGCAACUGACAAGAUGGUCGCGGGUCGCCGGGUCCGGAGCCGCCCACCAGGUUGCCAGGAGGAGGCGGGAGCGGGGAGGCGCCCGAGGUGAGACGGGGGCACCCUCUGCAUCAUAAAGGACCCAGACCCCGGCACCCUCAACAUCAUAAGGAAUCAGACGGAUGCGGAAACCGAGGCGGGCUGGAUAGGAAACUCUUUCCAGGAAGGCUCCGGGGCACUCAACUGGUCUCCAACCUUCCCCUGCAACCUGUGACGCCUGCCAUUUUCCCAUUUUAGGCGAUGGCAACGCAACCCCUCCGUUUGCUCUGGGCAAAACUUCGAGAGUUCCCUCUGAAGCUGGAGCUUUUUCCUCAGAUCCAAGAUCCAAUUGGUCACCAAUUCGUGAUUUCCGUCGGCCAAGUGCGUGGGCAUUGAUCUACACGCGAGUUUCUCCACCUCUGCCGAAUGGCUACUUCGGGGUGGGGGAGGGGCCCUCCCGCCGUGGAUUGCAAGGUGUUUAGCAGCAUCUGUCUCCUCCGCUGACUAGACACAUGCCAGGGGGAUAACAUUCUCCCUCCCGCUUCCCCCAGCCGCGGCCUAGUGUCCCAGCGGGGUUGGGAGAGGCAUGUGAGGGCGAAGUUGCCCCCUGUUGAGAACCAUUGCUGCGCGUAGUCCUUCUCUCUGAACUUGUGCAGAGGACUCUCCAGGUGAAGGCUCAAGGGUGGAUCCAGCUCGAGACACCCUCGCUCCCCCUCACAGUCGGACCUUAGGAUUUAGGCUUUAACAUCUCCACAUCAUGAGAUUCGAAACCUUUAGGUCUUGUCUUCCGUUCUGUCCUCCAAAUCGGCCUCUUCCGAGCCUGUUGACCAGGGCCAGCCGGGCAGAGGGCUGGGCUCGCUCAACGAGGCUCCUCUCGCACCUCCUGGAGCUUCAGGCUUCUUUCCGUUGCAGAGAAGCUUUAUGGGCCAAUUCGUUCGGCAUCCCCGGGGGCAGGUGCGCGGUGCGCGGGGAAGAAGAGGAUUUGACUGCGGUUCUCCACCCCCGGCGCCCAACCUCCACCCCGGUGCGCGCGCUCUUCCAGGCUCCUGCUGGUCCCACUUGCCAGGAGUUAGGUCUCAGGUCAGCCUGAGCUCCUGAGACGCCCAGGCCCGGAAAGACACGUAGGGGAAACCAUCUGCUCACUUCUGUCCUGUCCGGAAGGGAUCCCUUUCUGACGGGAAAGAAAGGCGGUGAGUCCUGUCCUGUUGAGUAGGCGGAAGAGAGAUCAAAGGGAAGACAAGAAAAAUCCUGUGAGUUUUCAGGAUCUAAAGUUACCAUGAGGUCGACCUAACCUCCUCUGGAGGUCCUCCCGGUCCUCCCGUGGCUGUCGAAGGUGAAUCUAGCUUCCGUCUCCAGUUCGCCAAGGCGGACAAAGCCGACGACAAUGGGCCUGUCCACUAUCUUCUUUCAUAUGCACAAAAUGUCAGCUCUUCUUGUUUCUAACUUGCAACAUCCCACCUGAUGACCAGCUCAGCAAAUUAGAGACCCUCCAUGGGAUUCCAUCUCUGUCUUAGUUCGGGCUUCCAUAACUAUAUACCAUAAACUGGGUGGCUAAUUCACGACAGAAAUUUAUUUCUCACAGUUCUGGAGGUUGGAAGUCCGAGAUCAAGGUGCCAACAUGGUAGGGUUAUGAUGAGGGACUUUUUUCUGGUUGUAGACUGCCACCUUCUCAUUGUAUCCUCAGGGGGCAGAGAGAGCUCCCUGGGGUCCCUUUUAUAGUGGCAUUAGUCCCACUCAGACUAACGGGACUAAAUCCAGACCCAGUUAUUGCAAUGUGUGCAAAAGAACAAGGACUUGUACUAUCUGACUUCAAGGCUUACUAUAAGCUAUUACAGACAAGGCAUCAGGAGGGACAAAUAGAUAAACAGACUGAGUUAAGAGACCUGAAACUGAUCCACAGCCAUACAGUCAAUAAAUGAGCUUUCAAUGAAAGCAGUUCAAUAGAAGAAAAUAAAUCAUUUCAAUUAAUGGACUUUCAUAUGGAGGUGGGGGAGACCAACAAUGUUAUUCUCCCUCACACUACAUACAAAAGUAAUUUGAGGUGCAUUAUACACCAAAACUUAAAAGUUAAAGAUAUAAAGCAUUUCAAGGAUACUCUGUAGGUAAAGAUUAGCCUACCAACAAGUAGGACACUGAAAAAAUAUAUAUAAAAGACAUGAUAAAUUAGACUUCAUCAACAUUAGCCAUACCUUCUCAUCAAAAGAUACCACUAAGAAAGUGAAAAGGCAAGCAAGCCACAGACAGAGAGAAAAUAGUCACAAAACGUAUCUGACCUCCACAUCCUGUAAUUAGAAUUAUUGUGGUCUGGUACACUGCACCCAGUUUCUGCAGGAGUACUUUCUGGGUGUCUCUAAUGAGUAAGAGAGGGCCCCAUGGGAUAUUCCUACAGUUCCCAGAUGAACAGUGGGAAAGACUCUACGUUGACAAACCCCGGGGACCUGAAACCUCAGGUCCUCAAGGAGGGUAGAGGAUACCUGGACCCUGACCCAGACCCCUAGAUGGGCUGUGCCAAGAGACCCAGCAAGGGAAGGGAUUCCCUCCUGCCUCAGGUUCUCUGUUCUUCUGUGGUUAGAAGACCUGAACCCAACUCCCUCCCCAAGCAGUGGAGAUAGGGCUUUUCCAAGGGCUGGGGAUCUUGCUGUCCUAAGGACAGCUGAGCAAGGAGGUCGAGGAGGAUCUUGGGUGGUGGAGGAGAGGAAACCGGGUAAGAUGUGUGAAGCAGUCGGCUAUACCAGGCACAGAGAGGACCCACUGGGACACAAGAGCCUGCAUGUGAAGCCAGGCCUUGGGCCACCUUGUUCCUCAAAGGGGUGCUUACUUCCAUGGGAUCUUCAAAGGGACUGUGGAAAGAGAAGCCUUCAGCCCACACCUCUGAAUGCUUUUCCACCACAGCAUGCCCUGUGGCCUGUAUCCUGCUGGUGUGGAACAGUCAGACCCCUGCAGGGCUGCAGAGCCUCUGUACUGGGCGGCAUCCCAGCCUGAGUGCCAGAGCUCAGUGGGCAGGCCCCCGAGCAAGUAGAGAGGAGGGCACCUUUUGGACAGAACCUGUGGGACAAGAGCGACGUCUCAUCCGUUCAGGUUCCUCACAAAAUGAGAGUCAGGAAGAUCAGGGUGCAGACCUGAUUUCCCACGAAGGGCUGAAAGCAGACAACCGGAGGGAGAGCAGCACCUGGGCCAAUGAGGUAGAAGACAGAAGACCACAGUGUACUUCUGCCCUCAACCUCACCCCCUCCCACCUACAUCCUCCACACCCCCUGACCACCUUCUUCAGAAACGUAAUAGGAAUCAAGAUCCCCCCUGGCCUGGUUGCUAUGGGAGGCACAGUGGCCUGAUGGAGCCUGAGGCAGGUGUGGGAAGAUGUGGAUUGUCUAACUGGAGGUUGGGAGUCCAGGGUGCAGAAGGAGAAGCUUGGAGUGCAGGAUUUGGUGGUAUGUGUGUGGCAGUAGGCACUAUGUUCUAAUUGCCAGUUUUUUUUUCUUCUUCCUUUUUUUCUCUAGCUAAACAAGCACUGGCCUUGAGAUAAGCAAUGCUGAAGCACUUGCAGCUCACCUAUUACCAUAAACUGACUGAGCCCUCCCUACACAAGCCGUAACUACUGCUUUGAUUGGACAAGAGACUGAUUUCAGUAGUUUUCUCUUGAUAAGAGACCACUGGCCGUGGGCGGGUUCUGGACAGUUUACAGAAGCUAUGCACUUGAUUGCCUUUGUGUCCCUGCUUCACCUUUUGAAGCAUAGGGCCUAAUUAUAAUGUAUUUAAAUGUUGUCUCCACCCCAAAGUGAACAUGGGUUGCAUGUAACAGGCAUGUUUACUCAGCAUGCAUGCAGCAGGAUCCCUUCACAAAUAUUCAGAGCUCCCCCUAUUCCCUGUUGAAUAUGUAUAUGUGGCCAGCCAGAUCAACGUAAAUCACUAUUCGCCCUCCCCUCCCUGGAAACCUACUUUUCGGGUUUCAGCAGGAAGCUAUGCCUCCCAGUCUGUCAGAAUGGCCACUUGCAGGCUGUAACCCUUUAUAAAAAAAUAAAAUCUCCUUUCUAAAUUUA
Molecule: long non-coding RNA, 5646 nt
Filed under: Homo sapiens (human)
Lineage: Eukaryota; Metazoa; Chordata; Mammalia; Primates; Hominidae
Description: long independently transcribed non-coding RNA 1145, transcript variant 6 (LINC01145)
Source: RNAcentral